RNAcentral lists this unclassified non-coding RNA (217 nucleotides) under Hevea brasiliensis (rubber tree). The record is from RNAcentral. Lineage: Eukaryota; Viridiplantae; Streptophyta; Magnoliopsida; Malpighiales; Euphorbiaceae.
UUCACCUUUUCCUUAUUUCUUUCAUCUAGACCCGUAAAAGGGUGGAGAUGCAUGGAAGCAGGGAGUAGGUAAUCUAAAUUGAAGGAUGUGAAUUACACAAGAUAGGGAUGCCACUAUGAUUACCCUUUUCCUGUCAUGCAAUAUCCUUUCCUCUAGUUAAAGAGUCAAUCCUGCUUAACCCCCUCCCCUUGCACUGCUAAGACUAGCAACUGUAAGA